RNAcentral lists this Y RNA (107 nucleotides) under Saimiri boliviensis boliviensis (Bolivian squirrel monkey). RNAcentral's name for it is "Y RNA (ENSSBOG00000003836.1)". It matches the Rfam family "Y RNA". From Rfam's summary of the family: Y RNAs are components of the Ro ribonucleoprotein particle (Ro RNP), in association with Ro60 and La proteins. The Y RNAs and Ro60 and La proteins are well conserved, but the function of the Ro RNP is not known. The record is from Rfam by way of RNAcentral. Lineage: Eukaryota; Metazoa; Chordata; Mammalia; Primates; Cebidae.
GGCUGGUACGAAGGUAGUGAGUUAUCUCAGUUGAUUGCUCAGUCAGUUACAGAUUACACACCUUGUUCCACUCUCUUUCUUCUCACUACUGCACUUGACGUGUAAAA